AAACUCCAAAUCAAAGUCAUAAUUUGUACAAGUAAACUAUUAUAGGUCAAAAUACGAUCUUCAACAGGAAGCACACACCAAACAGCAAGUUAUAAAGGGGCCCCCAAAAAUGACUAUUGAAAAAAACAUUCAAACGGGAAAACCAACGGAUUAAUCAAUAUAAAAACGAGAAAUAAGAAACACAAACCACAUCAACAAACGACAACCAUGCACUGAACAUCAGGUUCCUAAAUUAGGACAGGUGCAAAUAUAAAUGCAGCAGGUUUAAACGUUUUAAAUAGCAUAUUACAUGUUUUUAAU
RNAcentral lists this long non-coding RNA (300 nucleotides) under Mytilus galloprovincialis (Mediterranean mussel). Lineage: Eukaryota; Metazoa; Mollusca; Bivalvia; Mytilida; Mytilidae. The record is from RNAcentral.